This 497-nucleotide ribosomal RNA is filed under the name uncultured bacterium. RNAcentral describes it as "partial 16S ribosomal RNA". It matches the Rfam family "Bacterial small subunit ribosomal RNA", at positions 28 to 507 of the family's 1533-position model. The record is from RNAcentral.
GAUGAACGCUGGCGGCGUGCCUAAUACGUGCAAGUCGAGCGAACAGACGAGGAGCUUGCUCCUCCGACGUUAGCGGCGGACGGGUGAGUAACACGUGGAUAACCUACCUAUAAGACUGGGAUAACUUCGGGAAACCGGAGCUAAUACCGGAUAAUAUAUUGAACCGCAUGGUUCAAUAGUGAAAGACGGUUUUGCUGUCACUUAUAGAUGGAUCCGCGCCGCAUUAGCUAGUUGGUAAGGUAACGGCUUACCAAGGCAACGAUGCGUAGCCGACCUGAGAGGGUGAUCGGCCACACUGGAACUGAGACACGGUCCAGACUCCUACGGGAGGCAGCAGUAGGGAAUCUUCCGCAAUGGGCGAAAGCCUGACGGAGCAACGCCGCGUGAGUGAUGAAGGUCUUCGGAUCGUAAAACUCUGUUAUUAGGGAAGAACAAAUGUGUAAGUAACUAUGCACGUCUUGACGGUACCUAAUCAGAAAGCCACGGCUAACUACGUG